Molecule: long non-coding RNA, 303 nt
Filed under: Rattus norvegicus (Norway rat)
Lineage: Eukaryota; Metazoa; Chordata; Mammalia; Rodentia; Muridae
Description: long non-coding RNA NONRATT028247
Source: RNAcentral
CAGGCUUGUUACAUGUUACAUGUGCCUCUUUUCCCACCUUAGUGUUCGGAAACAUCCUCGAACCAAGGAAAUACAAAUUACCUCUUCUGUCUUUAAAGUGAAAGCCUACGUGAGUAUCGAGCUUGUUAACUACUCAUUACAAAUACAGUUGCCAUCCUGGUGGCUUAUGCUGUCCACUGUUAUGUGUAUUUGUUAUGACGGUGCUAAGUACUUAUGAAAAUCAAAUGUGACAGGGCUCAGCUUCCUGGGGGUCAGCCCAUGAGCCUGCUCUCAGGAAGAGAGAAGCAGAGACUCUGGAGGAAU